Molecule: ribosomal RNA, 214 nt
Filed under: uncultured bacterium
Lineage: Bacteria
Description: partial 16S ribosomal RNA
Rfam family: Bacterial small subunit ribosomal RNA
Source: RNAcentral
CCCAGUUCGGACUGUAGUCUGCAACCCGACUACACGAAGCUGGAAUCGCUAGUAAUCGCGAAUCAGAACGUCGCGGUGAAUACGUUCCCGGGUCUUGUACACACCGCCCGUCACACCGUGGGAGUCGGGAAUGCCCGAAGCCGGUGACCCAACCGAAAGGAGGGAGCCGUCGAAGGCAGGUCUGAUAACUGGGGUGAAGUCGUAACAAGGUAGC